RNAcentral lists this ribosomal RNA (161 nucleotides) under Escovopsis weberi. Its description in RNAcentral is "5.8S ribosomal RNA". It matches the Rfam family "5.8S ribosomal RNA". Rfam says of the family: 5.8S ribosomal RNA (5.8S rRNA) is a component of the large subunit of the eukaryotic ribosome. It is transcribed by RNA polymerase I as part of the 45S precursor that also contains 18S and 28S rRNA. Functionally, it is thought that 5.8S rRNA may be involved in ribosome translocation. Lineage: Eukaryota; Fungi; Ascomycota; Sordariomycetes; Hypocreales; Hypocreaceae. The record is from RNAcentral.
AAACUUUUAACAACGGAUCUCUUGGCUCUCGCAUCGAUGAAGAACGCAGCGAAAUGCGAUAAGUAAUGUGAAUUGCAGAAUUCAGUGAAUCAUCGAAUCUUUGAACGCACCUUGCGCCCUUUGGUAUUCCGAAGGGCAUGCCUGUUUGAGUGUCAUGAAAC